This 72-nucleotide transfer RNA is filed under the name Ictidomys tridecemlineatus (thirteen-lined ground squirrel). Its description in RNAcentral is "Spermophilus tridecemlineatus (thirteen-lined ground squirrel) tRNA". It matches the Rfam family "tRNA". From Rfam's summary of the family: Transfer RNA (tRNA) molecules are approximately 80 nucleotides in length. Their secondary structure includes four short double-helical elements and three loops (D, anti-codon, and T loops). The record is from Rfam by way of RNAcentral. Lineage: Eukaryota; Metazoa; Chordata; Mammalia; Rodentia; Sciuridae.
GGGGGUGUAGCUCAGUGGUAGAGUGACUGCCUGACAAAUCAGAAGCCCUGGAUUCCAUCCCUAGUACCUCCA